Molecule: long non-coding RNA, 1771 nt
Organism: Prosopis cineraria
Lineage: Eukaryota; Viridiplantae; Streptophyta; Magnoliopsida; Fabales; Fabaceae
Exons: 4
Source: RefSeq, a predicted model, not a curated record
GCCUCUAGCAUUACUGACUAUCUUCUUCUGGGUUCUAUCAUGACCAUCAUUUCUCAUGAGAAGAAUCAUAUCUCGGUGAAGCCCACAACUUGCAAGGAGUUGGUGACAGAGGAUAUCUAAAUCUGAUCCUCGAAGGAUGGAUGAUGAUUAAAGAGGAAAGGAAGUGGGUAAACUGUGGAUUGCUGAGAGGAGACCCCAAGACAGCGAAAUGAGAGUCGGAUGAAAUCAAUAUCUCUGAUACGGAGGCGAUCUUGGCAAUUCAGAAGAGCCUGUUGCCGAUAAUUGGAGAGGCUAGAGCGUUUCUCUUGGUGAGAAAUAGUGUGCAGUGGCGGGGACACCUAGCGGAUCGCUAUUCGCUCCACUGAAAGCCCAAGGAACAGAAAUCAAUUUUAGAUCCUCUUACCGGCUGAGAUAAGUGGAUUUCAUGGUUCAAAUGUUUUUAAAUUUUUUAGUGGUACAAUUUUUGAACUGAAAAUUAUUUCCUCCUCCCCUCUUGUUUGUUGAACGUUGGUCCAAGAGAAAGAAAGGCUCUUAUUUGAGGUUUCACCAGCAUCCACUCAACAAUCGAUUCAGUCAUCAGCGAUACCUUCCAUAUGGCUUUAUCUCACUUUGAAUCUCAGAGAAAUCAUAGAACCUCUUGCUAGAAAAGUGGAGGAACUCCUUAUACUUCUCUUCAGUGCUAUUGGACUUCUUCUUAAUCUACACGAGCUACAACACUAGCAGCCUCCUAGGCAAGAUCUUUGAGAACACUAGACUUGCCAUUACUUUGGCUCCCAAUGACGAUGACCUAGGGAAGAUCCAUGGUGGACUGGCUUUUGACCCGAGCAAAGAUGUCUUGAAACUUGUUCACUAAGGAGAUCAUGGAGGAGCCAAGAGGAGCAAAUGAGGAAGAUGAAGAUGUGGUGUUGGUACUAAAUCUUGGUGAGAUUAGGAAAACCCUUAAGCAAAGAAUGUGAAUAUGGAAGAGAAAGAGAAUAGCAGAAAAUGAAUGUAAGAUUCAUUGGUGUUAUAAUUUUCAGAUUCCUUUUCCAUAUGGCUUUAUCUCAUUGCUUUUCAAAAUUUUGAUUCUCUAUUUUAGCUUUUCUAGUUCUAGAGAGAUGCUUCAUCAACAAUGAGUACUCCAACAUUUUUUAUAGAUCGGUAGGAGGCGGAUUCUUAAAGCAGCAGCUGGAACAUGGGAUCCACGAUGGACACUGCCCGGUGCACGGUGGUCGGAGACACAAAGAAGAAGUACACCCACCAUCGCACUUGUAGCUCCGGCACCUGAAACAAGGCUUGCAACUUCCAUGGCACUUGAAGCUCUCACACCUAAAACAUGGCUUACAGCUUCCAAGGCACUUAGGGCUCCCACACCUUGUGCAUGGCUUACAGUUUCCAUGGCGCUUCAAGUUUUCACAGUUUGAGCAAGAUUUGCAGGUUCCAUGACAGUUCAGGUUAGGGUUAGGGAGUAUCUGCGGGCAGGGCUGGCAGUCGCCGCCGUGACAAUUUGAGCUGUGGCGGCUUGAGCAGGGAUUCAAAGGUACAAUAGAAAUGGAACACGUUUUGAGUUUGUCUUUGUCUUUUUCUUCCUUCUUCUUCUUCUCCUCGGGAGCCUUAGGUUUCACUUCUUCCACCGUGAGAACAGUGACAGAACUGAACUUCUUCCUCAGAAGCUUUCCCAGACAGACUGUGUCUACGUCUUCCCCGGUCACCACCAACUGAUCUUUAUCGUUCAUGGACACCGAACUCACACCUUCAAAUACACCAUUAAAUAAAAAUGUUUUGAUGAUCA